GUCGAACGAUGAAGCCUAGCUUGCUGGGUGGAUUAGUGGCGAACGGGUGAGUAACACGUGAGUAACCUGCCCUUGACUCUGGGAUAAGCACUGGAAACGGUGUCUAAUACCGGAUAUUUCAGCUGGCCGCAUGGUCUGGUUGUGGAAAGAAUUUUGGUCAAGGAUGGACUCGCGGCCUAUCAGGUUGUUGGUGAGGUAAUGGCUCACCAAGCCUACGACGGGUAGCCGGCCUGAGAGGGUGACCGGCCACACUGGGACUGAGACACGGCCCAGACUCCUACGGGAGGCAGCAGUGGGGAAUAUUGCACAAUGGGCGAAAGCCUGAUGCAGCAACGCCGCGUGAGGGACGACGGCCUUCGGGUUGUAAACCUCUUUUAGUAGGGAAGAAGCGAAAGUGACGGUACCUGCAGAAAAAGCACCGGCUAACUACGUGCCAGCAGCCGCGGUAAUACGUAGGGUGCAAGCGUUGUCCGGAAUUAUUGGGCGUAAAGAGCUCGUAGGCGGUUUGUCGCGUCUGCUGUGAAAACUGGAGGCUCAACCUCCAGCCUGCAGUGGGUACGGGCAGACUAGAGUGCGGUAGGGGAGAUUGGAAUUCCUGGUGUAGCGGUGGAAUGCGCAGAUAUCAGGAGGAACACCGAUGGCGAAGGCAGAUCUCUGGGCCGUAACUGACGCUGAGGAGCGAAAGCAUGGGGAGCGAACAGGAUUAGAUACCCUGGUAGUCCAUGCCGUAAACGUUGGGAACUAGAUGUGGGGGCCAUUCCACGGUCUCCGUGUCGCAGCUAACGCAUUAAGUUCCCCGCCUGGGGAGUACGGCCGCAAGGCUAAAACUCAAAGGAAUUGACGGGGGCCCGCACAAGCGGCGGAGCAUGCGGAUUAAUUCGAUGCAACGCGAAGAACCUUACCAAGGCUUGACAUAUACGAGAACGGGCCAGAAAUGGUCAACUCUUUGGACACUCGUAAACAGGUGGUUGCAUGGGUUGUCGUCAGCUCGUGUCGUGAGAUGUUGGGUUAAGUCCCGCAACGAGCGCAACCCUCGUUCUAUGUUGCCAGCACGUUAUGGUGGGAACUCAUAGGAGACUGCCGGGGUCAACUCGGAGGAAGGUGGGGAUGACGUCAAAUCAUCAUGCCCCUUAUGUCCAGGGCUUCACACAUGCUACAAUGGUCGGUACAGUGGGUUGCGAUACCGUGAGGUGGAGCUAAUCCCUUAAAGCCGGUCUCAGUUCGGAUUGGAGUCUGCAACUCGACUCCAUGAAGUCGGAGUCGCUAGUAAUCGCAGAUCAGC
This 1282-nucleotide ribosomal RNA is filed under the name uncultured bacterium. RNAcentral describes it as "bacterial SSU rRNA". It matches the Rfam family "Bacterial small subunit ribosomal RNA", at positions 61 to 1353 of the family's 1533-position model. The record is from RNAcentral.